CGGGAGGAGGAGGGGGAGCGAAGCAGGGAGGGGGCGCUCGGCCCCGCGGUUGCAGCUCGCCUGGCCUUCUGCGCGCGCACAGGCGACGGAACGCAGUCCUACACACUUUGAGGCAGGGAGAGGACCUUGGUUUCCAGGCCCUGAUAUCAGUGCUGUUGAUGGGAAGGGAAGGGAGAAGGCAAGAUUUGAAGUGACAGACACUUGAGGUGGCUUGGUGUGUGACAGGUGGGGAUACUUUGUAAACCAGGAGACCUUUUGGAAGGUGGGACUUGGCUGGUGAAAGUACUAGCGGUGAGCCUUUGAAGACAAGAGUCUGGAUAAGUUCCCCAGUUUUCUGCCUCCUGGUCCGUGGCGAUAUGACGUUGCAAUGAAUGCUGCUAUGGCUUUCUCCAUGCUUUUCCCACCAUGCCAGACCAGACUCUCUGAAACUGUGAGUCAAGUUCAAGUUCAUCUUUGCUCCCUCAAGUUGUUUCUAUAGGUGUUUGGUCAAGAGUGAAGAAAGAUAAUGAAUAUGCAUGCACAGGUCUUGUUUCAAAAAAGAGACUCUUUUUUUUUUUUUUUUUUUUUUUUUUUGGGCCAAUCAAUUCUCUAGGAGAUGCUGUCAUAAAGAGGGGGAAGAAUGGAAGAGGAGCAAAGCCAUUGAUAGGAGGAUGGUAUUUGUUUUUAAAACACAAAUAUAUAUAUGUAAACCUGUGUCUAAAUAUGAUUGUAAGAUAAGCCCAAUGAGACAACAUCUAGACAGUGAAAAUAUUAUUUAUUUGAGUUUCAAAAAAAAAAUGAUCAACACCUCUUGUAGUCUUUGUCAAACCAGUAAAUAGGUAACUCCAUGCUGGGCAGUGUGAAAAAAACAAAACACUGCAAUGAAUCGAAUAAAAUAUGUGUUCUGCAGGAAGCUGUAAUUUAAUAGAUAUGAGGCAAAUAUCUAUGGUCAAAAUGACAGCCAUGAACAUCAGGAACCAAAAAUACAGAAUUUCCAGGUUUUUAAAAAAAAAAAUUAAGGCCCCGCUCACAGCUCUAUUACACAAAAAGGAAUAGUUUUGAUGGAAGGUUAUGUUAAAAAUUUCUGUCUGUUUCCAGCCCUAUUUUACCAUUUGGGAGGUUUUUGUUUGUUUGUUUGUUUUUUGUCUUUUUUUUUUAGCAUAAAGGAGUGUUUUGGUAUUUUGGUAUGUAUGUCAUGAAAUCGAGCUACUGCGUUAACAAAGAUAUGUACUAUAAAUAUCCAAAUUAGAACACUUUAAAAGUAUUCAUUUAUUUUGAUUAAUGGUAGAUACAUGCUUGUUGAAUUUUAAAAAAAGAAAUUAUGUGUAUUGGUAUUUUCUUUGCACAUAUACCUACUUACCACUUUUGUGCCUGGUGCUCCCAGAGGCCAGAAGAGGGCAUUGGCUGCCCUGGAACUGGAGUUACAGACAGUUGUGAGCUAUCCUGUGGGUACUGGGAAUGAACACAGAUCCUCUGGGAAAGGAGACAGUGCUUUUAACUGCUGAGCUAUCUCUCCAGCCUCUCAUUUAGAGAUUUUUUUUUUUUUGACAAUACAGCAAAGUAAGCAUGGUGGGAAUGGAAAAGUACCAUGAGAUCGCUACUCUGAAUAAGAAUCUUUAACCUUUAUACUUCAUACUUCAAAGAUAUAUAUGCAAGGCACAUACAUAAAUCAAGUAUUUUAUUAAUGUGCCACGCAUUAUUUACCCAUACCAAUUAGGCUUCUUUGAUUUUUUUUGUUUGCUUUAUGCAAAAUUUGAAAGACAAGGUUAAAAGAAGGUCACAUCAUCCCUGCAGCAAGAUUUUAAUUUUAGCAGGUUUGUACUUUCCAAAGAUUUCCUGCUGAUCACUGAAAUUUGGGAUAAAAGCACACAUGUUCCAUAGCUAGAGGCUUGCAAGUGAGCAAGCGUUCAUUUAUGUGUAAUUAGAAUAGCCACACUUGGGUUCCCUGCAUGUAAGGCAGGUCAUUUAAUUACCAACCCUAGGAAGAAUUCAGUCCUACAGUUUCCAUUCUAGACGUGAAGACAGAGGAGGACACAGAACCAGGGAGGAGAUGGGAUGUGCCCGAAGUGAGUUAGCUGUUAAAUCAAUUUUGGUUGGCUUCUAGGUCUGAGUGACUCAGCAUGGUGACCCCAUCUGGGUACUAUGCCUGUGGACCUCACUAUUUGAGGCACUUCUGUUAUUAGCUUAGGCAACUCUCCACUGGUUUGGGGGGGAGUUCUUUAAAAAUCAAAUAUUGAGGGGGCUGGAGAGAUGGCGCAAUGAUUAAGAGCACUGACUGCUCUUCAGGAGGUCCUGAGUUCAAUUCCCAGCAACCACAUGGUGGCUCACAACCAUCUGUAAUGGGAUCUGAUGCCCUCUUCUGGUGUGUCUGAAGACAACUACAGUGUACUUACAUAUAAUAAAUAAAUAAAUCUUUAAAAAAAUAAACAAAUAUUGAGUCAGGCUUUGUAGUAUACAACUGUAAUCUUAUCCCUCAAGAAAUAUCCAUUCUAGAUCACCCUGAGCUAGGGAGAAAGUUCCAGGACAGCCUGAGGUAUAAUAUGAAAUCCUGUCUCAAAACUAAAAUAGAACCUAGUGAUAUUGGACAUAUUAGAAACUGUUCUUGGAGUUACUCUGGUUCAAGGGCAGUUGCUGUGUUUUAUUUCUAUAAUAUUCUUUUAUUAGCAGUAACUGCUGAUGAGGAUCAUGGCCAUCCAAAGCUAUACUACAGACCAUGUUGUCCCUUCUUAAAGAAUGCCAUGAUGUCAUACAUUUCCACUUAAGUGCUACACAAACUCCCCAUCCCAAAGACACCAAAUGUGUCUUUUGCUCCUUGCUGCUUCUAUGGGAGAUGUUUACUCUCAUAAUGGCUUCAUCUUUCUGUUAACCCCAGGGCCUUUUCACAUACAGCAAGAUGAAUCCAAAUCCUCUCUUUCCAAUAAGGCCUCUGAGGCUAUUGCAUUUUAUGCUCAAAUAUAGCAUUAAAAUAUUAUUUCUAAUUUUUGAGUAUGAGAUGUGAUAUGAAUAAGCAAAAUUAGUGUCUUAAGUGCAUGAACUAUGGUGCCCUGAAAUUAAAACAGAAUUUGAAAGCUUAAAUAGUGCUGUUUAAAGCAGGGUAGAUGUUACACUAAAUGAUAGGAAAUUGCUUUUCAGGGUCAAUACUGGCAAUUUCAUAAUGUUCAAUCGAAUGCAAAGCUAUUGCAGCAGCUUAGCUGUGAAAAUGCCAUGUGGCUGCUCCUCUCUCUUGCUUCCAAAUUAUGCAAGCAAAAUAACUGAAUGCAAACUUCACAGAAAUGCAUAUAUAACUGCCUUUUAAGGGCCUAUCACUAUGCCCUUCACAUGUGAAAAUGCUUUUUAAUAAUGUUCCUUUGGCACUUAAACUGGUUGAAACGCCUUGGAGAGCAGCCAAAGCAGAAAUCCAGCACGUUAUGGGCUAGACUGAGAGUGGAGCAGAGAUCGGCUGAAAUGCUACAUCAGAGAACACAGGCAGCAGCAUCUCUCCCUCCAAAGGGCGAGGGCACUCCACAGGACAUGAAUAACUAUUCCUUUACUGUUCUGCCACCAUGUUAUCUGAUCCCAAAGCUACGGAACUACAGAGGAGGAGCAACUCUGAGAUGGUCUUGACAGGACCCAUGUCAAGGGAGGCUAGCAUUAGUUCUGACCUGCGUGGUAGGAUUUUGUGUGGUUGCUUUGCUUUAUUUUUCACUAAUGGUCACUAUUUGGAGAUUUUAACCUAAGCGUGUUGAUUGGUAGGUGUGCUGGAGUCUAUUUGGAGAGAAGAUUCCAGACCCAGGCUACUAUUUGACACCAUUCUAUUAGUUCUAAAAGGGGAUGUUUUAAAAGUGUUACUUUUAAUUGACAAGUGAUCACUGUACAUAUUUAGGGUUACAAAAUUAUGUUUUCAUAAUGAACAUGAUAUAUGAUGAUCAAGUCGUAGAAAUGAGCAUAUCCAAAUAGUUCUAUUUUCUGUAAUGAGAACAUUUAAAAAUCUUCCUUUACAGCCAUGUUGACAUACAUAGCACAGGGUUGUUAACCAUACCCAACCACCUGAACGUUUAUUUAAUUGAAAUUUAGUGGCUUAAGCAUCAUUAAAUUCCCUAGCACUAGGACAUACAAUUUUUACUACAACCAUUUAUUUACUUUGGUAGCGGGUUUAUUCAUUGCCACAUUGCAUGUGUGGAGGUCAGAGGACAACUUGUGGGAGUCAUUUCUCUCCUUUCACUAUAUGGGUCCCAGCAACUGAACACAGGUGGUCAGGCUUGGCUACCAGCUCCUUUGCCUGUGAGCCUGUGUAUCAGAGGUUUUCCACGGAGAUCUCUGGCCUGGCCUGUACCAGAGUUCCAGCGAAGGGAAGUGAGUGCGGGCAGGGAGGGGAACUUGUUUCCACAGCUUCAGCUGCUGCAGUUGGCGCCACCUCUGUCUCUGCCAUGCCUUCCCAGUUCGGUUACUUGGUUACUCUGUGCCCCCCUGCACUGAUUGGGGUCUGGCUCACGAGGCUGUCUAGCCAGUGAGGGGUGCAGCAGAGCUUCAGGCAGCGUUUCAGGAGAGCAGAACUCUUCCCAAGUGUUACAACAGCUCUUAUGACAGAAGCUCUCGGAUUUCUGAGUAGUUUUCGCACACAUUUAAUCCUUCUGGACAGGACUCUAAUAUACAGUUUUGGGGUGAGUCAGGGAUUGACAACAGUUACUUCUCGUUGGCAUGGCCUGUGAGCUUUGGGGAAACCUUAUUUGCCUGGGGGAAUGGCUUGGUGCAGCUCCUAUCACAUACCACUCUGCAGAGGGUGGCAGGUUGUGAGAGGUUGUAGCUGGGACUGGAGCCAGGGGUCCAGGAGGCAUGGCCAAACUCCUACCAUCCCAUGAAGGCAGAAGUCACCGCCCACCAGGUCUCUGGGGUUGAAGGCCUGUGCUCCACUGGGGACCAAGCUGUCUGUGCACUAAGUUUACCGAGUCAACACAAGCUUUUCUAUUUGCAGCUUCUCAUUUAGUACUGACCAUGAAAUUUUGGCCUCUACAGAUUCUUUGCAAAUGCCCAACCACUGAUAUGCUCUAGCCCUCAAUGUGUCUAUGUAGAUUCCACAUAGGAGCAAGAACGUAGGGUAUUUUUCCUCCAGAUUGCAGCUUACUUUAUUGAUUGUGUCUUCCAGGACAGUCCUUGCUAUUGUAGAUGACUGAAGCCUGAAAGGGGUAUCUAAUAAAGAAUUGCAGGUGUGUAGGGAAGAAUCUAAUUUCAUUCUAGAAUUUUGCACUAGUUUUCUACAAAUACCACGAUCUCCUUUUAUGCUUCUGGGGGUAUUUCAUCAAAAAACGUUUUACAGCUUCCUUUAAAAAGGAAGCAAAACAUUGUAACAACGGCUUGUCUGUCAUGGUUUCAUAUGCAUAUUUCAUAUUCGACUGAAUUAUUCCACGGCGUGUAAGCAUGCAAGUGUUUAAGGUGACAAAUUUAAACAACAUGCAUAAUAAUGCAAAAAGGGGGCAUGCCCUUUAAAAGUUUCAUCAGCUCAAUAGAGUUCUCCUGCAACUUCUGACCUGGCUAGGAGGGGCCUUCCAAUCUGUGGUUGGCUUUGCUGCAUCUUCCUUUGGUCCUGUUUUACUUGGGAUGCCUUGCUGGCUAAUGGCAACACCCUUUCUCUGAUAAAACCUGACAGACUUGGGAGAACUUUGUGCCCAAGGGUGACUAAUUCAGAUGUUUAGAACUAAGCAAAGAACAUCACCAGGAGCCCGGGUGUUGUGACUGAACUUAAUAUAUGUGUUCCCCCAGAGAUUUGUGUGUUUGAACACUUACUUGGUCCCCAGGAGAUGAUGGUCCUCUGCUGGAAACUUGCGGCACCUUUAGGAGGUGGAGAACCAAUAUAGGAAGUGUGUCAUCAGUCACCAGGAAGCCUGGAGAGAUAUUGUAGCCUAGACCCAUUUCCUGUUCACUCUGCUUCCUGUCUGUGGAUGCUAUGUGAGCAACAGCCUCCUGUUCCUGUCACCAUGCCUUCAUUGCCACUGUGGACUGUGUCUCCUCUAACUUCCAAUAUUCUUGAUCUUUCUGGAAUUGCAUGGAGUCUACUAGAAAACUUAGAGAGGAAAAUAGACACAGAGAACUGCUGAUCUGUCCUGGAGGUCACAGCCAUGAAUCCACUACAGUCAACACAGAGCUCUUUCCAAGAAGUGCCAUCCGAGGCCAUGCUGACUCAGGGACAGACAGCAAACUGCUGCUGAGCUGGGCAUCUUCCUUUUCCAGUGUCUCAGCAUCAGUCGUGUCUGAGACUGUGGGGCCAGUCCAAUGGCAUUACCUAUGUGCCCUCCUUUCUGCUUCUGCAGGGAAACCAGCAAGUAAUCCUCAUGUCUCCCUACAAUCUCCCUAAAUAUUGUACUCUAUGAAUAAACAUGUGGACAAAAAUA
Molecule: long non-coding RNA, 6344 nt
Organism: Mus musculus (house mouse)
Lineage: Eukaryota; Metazoa; Chordata; Mammalia; Rodentia; Muridae
Product: predicted gene, 32247
Exons: 5
Source: RefSeq, a predicted model, not a curated record